AGAAUCAACGCUGGCGGCGUGCCUAACACAUGCAAGUCGCACGAGAAAGUGGAGCAAUCCAUGAGUACAGUGGCGCACGGGUGAGUAACACGUGAAUGAUCUACCUCCGAGUGGGGAAUAACUGAGAGAAAUCUUAGCUAAUACCGCAUAAUACCCACGGGUCAAAGCAGCAAUGCGCUUGGAGAGGAGUUCGCGGCCGAUUAGCUAGUUGGCGGGGUAAUGGCCCACCAAGGCGAUGAUCGGUA
This 245-nucleotide ribosomal RNA is filed under the name uncultured bacterium. RNAcentral describes it as "partial small subunit ribosomal RNA". It matches the Rfam family "Bacterial small subunit ribosomal RNA", at positions 26 to 285 of the family's 1533-position model. The record is from RNAcentral.